Molecule: ribosomal RNA, 356 nt
Filed under: Anguispira alabama
Lineage: Eukaryota; Metazoa; Mollusca; Gastropoda; Stylommatophora; Discidae
Description: partial 16S ribosomal RNA
Source: RNAcentral
AUUGGCCUUUAAUUGUGGUCUGGUAUGAACGGAAACAUAUAUAGCUUCUGUCUCAUUUGUACUGUUGGUAACUUGCUUAGUAGGUGAAAAUUCCUAUUAGCUUAAUUGUAGGACGAUAAGACCCUUAGAAUUAUUAAUAAGUGAACACCUAAUAUGUGUAAAUCCUUUUUGUUGGGGCGACAUAUUCUCAAGUAACAUAAUUAAUAUAAAAAUCACAGGUCUAAUAUAAUUAGGAAGAUUUAAUUACCUAAGGGAUAACAGCAUAAUAUUAAUAUAUGUUUAUGACCUCGAUGUUGGACUAGGUAAAUUUAUUAAUUAGAAGUUAUAAAUACUUGUUCUGUUCGAACAGGAACACC